RNAcentral lists this ribosomal RNA (397 nucleotides) under uncultured bacterium. RNAcentral's name for it is "partial 16S ribosomal RNA". It matches the Rfam family "Bacterial small subunit ribosomal RNA", at positions 523 to 918 of the family's 1533-position model. The record is from RNAcentral.
AUACGUAGGCGGCGAGCGUUGUCCGGAAUGAUUGGGCGUAAAGGGCGCGUAGGCGGCGCGGUAAGUCUGGAGUGAAAGUCCUGCUUUCAAGGUGGGAAUUGCUUUGGAUACUGCCGCGCUUGAGUGCAGGAGAGGUUAUCGGAAUUCCCGGUGUAGCGGUGAAAUGCGUAGAGAUCGGGAGGAACACCAGUGGCGAAGGCGGGUAACUGGACUGCAACUGACGCUGAGGCGCGAAAGUGUGGGGAGCAAACAGGAUUAGAUACCCUGGUAGUCCACACUGUAAACGAUGAAUGCUAGGUGUAAGAGGUAUCGACCCCUUUUGUGCCGGAGUCAACACAAUAGGCAUUCCGCCUGGGGUGUACGGCCGCAAGGUUGAAACUCAAAUGAAUUGACGGGG